Molecule: ribosomal RNA, 497 nt
Filed under: uncultured bacterium
Lineage: Bacteria
Description: partial 16S ribosomal RNA
Rfam family: Bacterial small subunit ribosomal RNA
Source: RNAcentral
GAUGAACGCUGGCGGCGUGCCUAAUACAUGCCAGUCGAGCGAACAGACGAGGAGCUUGCUCCUCUGACGUUAGCGGCGGACGGGUGAGUAACACGUGGAUAACCUACCUAUAAGACUGGGAUAACUUCGGGAAACCGGAGCUAAUACCGGAUAAUAUAUUGAACCGCAUGGUUCAAUAGUGAAAGACGGUUUUGCUGUCACUUAUAGAUGGAUCCGCGCCGCAUUAGCUAGUUGGUAAGGUAACGGCUUACCAAGGCAACGAUGCGUAGCCGACCUGAGAGGGUGAUCGGCCACACUGGAACUGAGACACGGUCCAGACUCCUACGGGAGGCAGCAGUAGGGAAUCUUCCGUAAUGGGCGAAAGCCUGACGGAGCAACGCCGCGUGAGUGAUGAAGGUCUUCGGAUCGUAAAACUCUGUUAUUAGGGAAGAACAAAUGUGUAAGUAACUAUGCACGUCUUGACGGUACCUAAUCAGAAAGCCACGGCUAACUACGUG